UACAGAGGGGGCAAGCGUUGUUCGGAAUUACUGGGCGUAAAGGGCGCGUAGGCGGCCCGCCAAGUCGAACGUGAAAUCCCCGAGCUCAACUCGGGAACUGCGUCCGAUACUGGCGGGCUUGAAUCCGGGAGAGGGAGGCGGAAUUCCAGGUGUAGCGGUGAAAUGCGUAGAUAUCGGGAGGAACACCAGUGGCGAAGGCGGCCUUCUGGAAUGCAUCUGACGCUCAGACACGAAAGCUAGGGGAGCGAACGGG
This 253-nucleotide ribosomal RNA is filed under the name uncultured bacterium. RNAcentral describes it as "partial 16S ribosomal RNA". It matches the Rfam family "Bacterial small subunit ribosomal RNA", at positions 524 to 776 of the family's 1533-position model. The record is from RNAcentral.